GGCAUGAUGUAGCAGUGGAG
This 20-nucleotide microRNA is filed under the name Caenorhabditis elegans. RNAcentral describes it as "cel-miR-270". Its record names the gene cel-miR-270. The record is from miRBase by way of RNAcentral. Lineage: Eukaryota; Metazoa; Nematoda; Chromadorea; Rhabditida; Rhabditidae.